RNAcentral lists this ribosomal RNA (424 nucleotides) under uncultured bacterium. Its description in RNAcentral is "bacterial SSU rRNA". It matches the Rfam family "Bacterial small subunit ribosomal RNA", at positions 359 to 776 of the family's 1533-position model. The record is from RNAcentral.
GAAUUGUUCGCAAUGGGCGCAAGCCUGACGACGCAACGCCGCGUGGAGGAUGAAGGUCUUCGGAUUGUAAACUCCUGUUGCCCGGGACGAAUGGCUCCGACCUAACACGUCGGCGAUUGACGGUACCGGGUGAGGAAGCCCCGGCUAACCCUGUGCCAGCAGCCGCGGUAAUACAGAGGGGGCAAGCGUUGUUCGGAAUUACUGGGCGUAAAGGGCGCGUAGGCGGCCUGCUAAGUCGAACGUGAAAUCCCCGAGCUCAACUCGGGAACUGCGCCCGAUACUGGCAGGCUUGAAUCCGGGAGAGGGAUGUGGAAUUCCAGGUGUAGCGGUGAAAUGCGUAGAUAUCUGGAGGAACACCGGUGGCGAAGGCGACAUCCUGGACCGGCAUUGACGCUGAGGCGCGAAAGCCAGGGGAGCAAACGGG